GAGUUUCUUCUUAAAUAGUUUACAUCUUAUCAAAGAGGAAAGAUAAAACAGUGUCGUAGGCGGUUUAAUAAAUAACCGUUUAUUUGAAUUGAAAAAUACCUAGAGUUCGGCGUCGAAACCCAUCACAUUUUCGGGGCGGAGGUAAAUUCCUCAUCAACAAGUAAAACUAUAUAAUCCGACAGGUAUUUUCCUCACCAAAUUUAAGGGUUCGUAUUAAUCUGGUCUCUUGGUGGAGAGACGGAGAUCUUGUCACUGACGAGACUGAGUAUUUUUCCGAUCGGCGGAAAUCCCAGAGCGUCCUCAAAAUUGACAAGCUCACUCGUUCACACCUCCUGGCCAUAUACAGCUGUGAGGCCAGCAACAGUCGUCUUCAACCACCCCUUGUUGUACGAACUGCAAUCGAUAUGUACCUGAGACCCCUAGAAGUCACACUUAUUGGAAACAAUCCAGAGUUCAGUGCUGGAAGAAGAUACAACAUUACCUGUCGGUGUCGAGGUUCGAGGCCCCCAGCAAUAAUUACUUGGUGGAAG
This is a long non-coding RNA of Diabrotica virgifera virgifera (western corn rootworm), 530 nucleotides long. RefSeq lists it as uncharacterized. The transcript has 3 exons. The record is from RefSeq and is a predicted model, not a curated record. NCBI's taxonomy places the organism in Eukaryota, Metazoa, Arthropoda, Insecta, Coleoptera, Chrysomelidae.